Molecule: ribosomal RNA, 497 nt
Filed under: uncultured bacterium
Lineage: Bacteria
Description: partial 16S ribosomal RNA
Rfam family: Bacterial small subunit ribosomal RNA
Source: RNAcentral
GACGAGCGCUGGCGGCGUGCCUAAUACAUGCAAGUAGAACGCUGAAGAGAGGAGCUUGCUCUUCUUGGAUGAGUUGCGAACGGGUGAGUAACGCGUAGGUAACCUGCCUGGUAGCGGGGGAUAACUAUUGGAAACGAUAGCUAAUACCGCAUAAAAUUGAUUAUUGCAUGAUACUUAAUUGAAAGAUGCAACUGCAUCACUACCAGAUGGACCUGCGUUGUAUUAGCUAGUUGGUGAGGUAACGGCUCACCAAGGCGACGAUACAUAGCCGACCUGAGAGGGUGAUCGGCCACACUGGGACUGAGACACGGCCCAGACUCCUACGGGAGGCAGCAGUAGGGAAUCUUCGGCAAUGGGGGGAACCCUGACCGAGCAACGCCGCGUGAGUGAAGAAGGUUGUCGGAUCGUAAAGCUCUGUUGUAAGAGAAGAACGGGUGUGAGAGUGGAAAGUUCACACUGUGACGGUAGCUUACCAGAAAGGGACGGCUAACUACGUG